RNAcentral lists this long non-coding RNA (1626 nucleotides) under Triticum aestivum (bread wheat). RNAcentral's name for it is "long non-coding RNA (TAES_LNC003300)". The record is from RNAcentral. Lineage: Eukaryota; Viridiplantae; Streptophyta; Magnoliopsida; Poales; Poaceae.
AUAAAUCUGGGUAUAUUCAGACAACGCGAAGAAAACUGAGCCCUUAGAGGGUCUCUAGUAUAUUUACAGAAGGGGAAAAAAUGAACAACACUUGCAAUACAUUUUGUACCGAGCAAAGAAACAAAAUGUACAGUAAAAAUGCUUUGGAAUCAUGUGUAUAGAAAAUGGGUGAGUGCACAUGUACAUACAUACACAAAAUUAGUACUGGACCUCUUGUAACUCCAGGUCGUAUGCAAUAGAGACAAUCCUAAAUAACUUACAACUAUGCAAUUGUGGCAUUGUUCAACAAAAAGACAGCUUGGCACCACCCAAAAAGACAAGAAUUCCGUGCAAAAACUUCAGUGGCACGGUGACAUGACGUUUGGUCAAAUUACAGGGACAAUCCAUUCAGUAAAAUCAACAGGAAAUUGUUCAGCCCGCUCCACCGCUCCAGGACUUAUUUCAGCAACAGACAAUUCUAGAUCAGUAGUCAUCAGUGAAGCAUGCUUCAGUACUUAUUUCUCUGCAGAGUAUACUGAGAGAAAUUAGUGUGAUUUCUUUGAAACAAACUAACACAAGAAUAGACGCAAUGGCCUCACCUUGCUCGUCAGCGACCCCUUCCGAACAACAUUAUCUUGCGAAAUAUGCACCUAAUCGAACAGGAAGCAAACUAAAAAUUAAAAGAUCCAUCACACACAUACCUGCUCGGCUUCUAUUGGCAGCUUGGCACCGGAGCUGUCGGGAACGAGUAGCUCAACACUGUCAGAAAUAUUGCGCGGCCUAGUCAUGGCAGUCCUGCCGCUGCUAGCCUCCAUGGCCAGCACAAAAAAAGGGCAUGUCGUUGGAGGUUGAGAACCAGAGAGGCAGAGACAACACUAAAGGGAAUAACGCCGACAUUGAAAACAAAGUAACUUACAGCCCAGUUCAUCUUCCUUAUUCACCUAGGCACGCUGAUCUCUGCACUCGCCGGUGCUAGUCGUCAUCCACAAGACAACGGGCAUGAGGAGCAGCAUCGCCGAUCCAUGGCUUUGUGAGCCGCAUAUAAGUCCCGCCCCAAAAGACGGAACCAGGGAGGGUUCCGGUGCAUCGGCCUGGGGUAGACUCAGUGAUCCCUUGACCAGCGGCAGCCUACGACGGAGUGGAGCCGCAACUCAAACCACUUCGCCUGCAACAGUGCGCAGCUGUCGGCCGUCCGCGGCGACCGGAUCUGGGAAUCCCUCUCCACAAAUCCCAACUUCUGUACUGUUGUGCACCCCCAUCACCGACCAAACCUCGCCGGAUAAGAGAGAGACCAACCUCCCUAACCCCACAGUGCCACCGGCGGAGGGAGCACCGCCGAGACAGGAAAGGAGCCAGGGGGAACCUUAUCCCACAGCGUUGACAUCGCCCCUGCCUGCCCGCCAGUGCCAGAAUAAAAUCCUAAAACAACAUUAUCUACAACCGCGUCGCGGUCGUACACUGUCCCGCACACCUCCCAGAGCCCGACGGCUUACCGGAGGCGAGGGAGACCAGCGGAGGCAGCACGCCUGGAAACCGCCUCUCGCGUCGGGAGAGAGACCAAGAGAUUUCCACCGUGUGUAGCGACUUUGAUAGGGGUACUCGAAGCUUCUGUUUCUUUCUCCAGAGAGAAAUAGAAACAAGUAGUCG